RNAcentral lists this ribosomal RNA (303 nucleotides) under uncultured bacterium. Its description in RNAcentral is "partial 16S ribosomal RNA". It matches the Rfam family "Bacterial small subunit ribosomal RNA", at positions 507 to 808 of the family's 1533-position model. The record is from RNAcentral.
AGCAGUCGCCGCGGUAACACGGAGGGGGCUAGCGUUGUUCGGAAUUACUGGCGUAAAGCGCACGUAGGCGGCUUGGUAAGUUAGAGGUGAAAGCCCAGGGCUCAACCCUGGAAUUGCCUUUAAGACUGCCGAGCUAGUAGGUGAGAGAGGUGAGUGGAAUUCCGAGUGUAGAGGUGAAAUUCGUAGAUAUUCGGAAGAACACCAGUGGCGAAGGCGGCUCACUGGCUCAUUCUAGACGCUGAGGUGCGAAAGCGUGGGGAGCAAACAGGAUUAGAUACCCCCGUAGUCCCUGUCUCUUAUACA